RNAcentral lists this ribosomal RNA (505 nucleotides) under uncultured bacterium. RNAcentral describes it as "partial 16S ribosomal RNA". It matches the Rfam family "Bacterial small subunit ribosomal RNA", at positions 28 to 507 of the family's 1533-position model. The record is from RNAcentral.
GACGAACGCUGGCGGCGUGCCUAAUACAUGCAAGUAGAACGCACAGUUUAUACCGUAGCUUGCUACACCAUAGACUGUGAGUUGCGAACGGGUGAGUAACGCGUAGGUAACCUGCCUGGUAGCGGGGGAUAACUAUUGGAAACGAUAGCUAAUACCGCAUAAUAUUAAUUAUUGCAUGAUAAUUAAUUGAAAGGUGCAAUUGCACCACUACCAGAUGGACCUGCGUUGUAUUAGCUAGUAGGUGAGGUAACGGCUCUCCUAGGCGACGAUACAUAGCCGACCUGAGAGGGUGAUCGGCCACACUGGGACUGGGGCACGGCCCAGACUCCUACGGGAGGCAGCAGUAGGGAAUCUUCGGCAAUGGACGAAAGUCUGACCGAGCAGCGCCGCGUGAGUGAAGAAGGUUUUCGGAUCGUAAAGCUCUGUUGUAAGAGAAGAACGGGUGUGAGAGUGGAAAGUUCACACUGUGACGGUAUCUAACCAGAAAGGGACGGCUAACUACGUG